Molecule: ribosomal RNA, 1636 nt
Filed under: Staphylococcus aureus DAR3176
Lineage: Bacteria; Bacillati; Bacillota; Bacilli; Caryophanales; Staphylococcaceae
Description: bacterial LSU rRNA
Rfam family: Bacterial large subunit ribosomal RNA
Source: RNAcentral
AUUGGCAGACGCGCGGGACUCAAAAUCCCGUUCCACUUGUGGAGUGUCGGUUCGACCCCGACCACCGGUAUAAUUAACUGUUAUUUACAUAACAUGGGUCCUAAGCUGAGGCCGACAGGCGUAGGCGAUGGAUAACAGGUUGAUAUUCCUGUACCACCUAUAAUCGUUUUAAUCGAUGGGGGGACGCAGUAGGAUAGGCGAAGCGUGCGAUUGGAUUGCACGUCUAAGCAGUAAGGCUGAGUAUUAGGCAAAUCCGGUACUCGUUAAGGCUGAGCUGUGAUGGGGAGAAGACAUUGUGUCUUCGAGUCGUUGAUUUCACACUGCCGAGAAAAGCCUCUAGAUAGAAAAUAGGUGCCCGUACCGCAAACCGACACAGGUAGUCAAGAUGAGAAUUCUAAGGUGAGCGAGCGAACUCUCGUUAAGGAACUCGGCAAAAUGACCCCGUAACUUCGGGAGAAGGGGUGCUCUUUAGGGUUAACGCCCAGAAGAGCCGCAGUGAAUAGGCCCAAGCGACUGUUUAUCAAAAACACAGGUCUCUGCUAAACCGUAAGGUGAUGUAUAGGGGCUGACGCCUGCCCGGUGCUGGAAGGUUAAGAGGAGUGGUUAGCUUCUGCGAAGCUACGAAUCGAAGCCCCAGUAAACGGCGGCCGUAACUAUAACGGUCCUAAGGUAGCGAAAUUCCUUGUCGGGUAAGUUCCGACCCGCACGAAAGGCGUAACGAUUUGGGCACUGUCUCAACGAGAGACUCGGUGAAAUCAUAGUACCUGUGAAGAUGCAGGUUACCCGCGACAGGACGGAAAGACCCCGUGGAGCUUUACUGUAGCCUGAUAUUGAAAUUCGGCACAGCUUGUACAGGAUAGGUAGGAGCCUUUGAAACGUGAGCGCUAGCUUACGUGGAGGCGCUGGUGGGAUACUACCCUAGCUGUGUUGGCUUUCUAACCCGCACCACUUAUCGUGGUGGGAGACAGUGUCAGGCGGGCAGUUUGACUGGGGCGGUCGCCUCCUAAAAGGUAACGGAGGCGCUCAAAGGUUCCCUCAGAAUGGUUGGAAAUCAUUCAUAGAGUGUAAAGGCAUAAGGGAGCUUGACUGCGAGACCUACAAGUCGAGCAGGGUCGAAAGACGGACUUAGUGAUCCGGUGGUUCCGCAUGGAAGGGCCAUCGCUCAACGGAUAAAAGCUACCCCGGGGAUAACAGGCUUAUCUCCCCCAAGAGUUCACAUCGACGGGGAGGUUUGGCACCUCGAUGUCGGCUCAUCGCAUCCUGGGGCUGUAGUCGGUCCCAAGGGUUGGGCUGUUCGCCCAUUAAAGCGGUACGCGAGCUGGGUUCAGAACGUCGUGAGACAGUUCGGUCCCUAUCCGUCGUGGGCGUAGGAAAUUUGAGAGGAGCUGUCCUUAGUACGAGAGGACCGGGAUGGACAUACCUCUGGUGUACCAGUUGUCGUGCCAACGGCAUAGCUGGGUAGCUAUGUGUGGACGGGAUAAGUGCUGAAAGCAUCUAAGCAUGAAGCCCCCCUCAAGAUGAGAUUUCCCAACUUCGGUUAUAAGAUCCCUCAAAGAUGAUGAGGUUAAUAGGUUCGAGGUGGAAGCAUGGUGACAUGUGGAGCUGACGAAUACUAAUCGAUCGAAGACUUAAUCAA